GUACUGUCUCAUUGUUUUUAUGUAUGAGAGUCAGAAGAAGUCUGUUUUUCUUUUGGAAGUGGAAAGUAGGACUUCAUGAACUUCCGUAAAAUUUUCAAGCUUUCUUCAUGAUUCAAUUUAUUUGUUUUUUGUUAAUCAGAUAUUGAUGCAUAUAUCAUUUAAGAGUGUUAUCAUUAAGUAUCCUAUGUUGAGCAUGGUUUUCUUAUGCAAGAUUCAAACACAAGGUAUUUAAGUUGCAAGCAGGAAUUGUUAUAUUGAGUAAAGUCUGAAAUCCUGGCCCUGUACCUGGUAUCAGUCAGGGACCUAGUUGGUACCAUCUCAACACUUGGGGCUUGCUGGCAUCCUGAUAAUUCACUAGGAUGUAUCCUUUUUAAUCUUUUUUUUUUAAGUUUUUUCUGUUGUUCGUUGUUUUUAAUGAUUAUUUAGAGGAUUUAAGGUCUGUUUAUAUCAUAAGUUUAGAUUGGAGAGGUUUUAAUGGAAUAGGUUGGGUUUAUGGUGCUGGUACAUAUACUAGAACCAUUCUUCUUUUGGCUAUUUUCUUGCAUGGAAGGGAAGGAAAGAGAGAAGGGAGAAAGAAGGAAGGAGAGAAGCAAACAGGCAGAUCUAGUUUCCAUUGCUCAGAUCCAGCUCCUCCAAGUCCAAACCCAGACUGGAACUCGGUGCUAUUUAUUUGUUAAGCGAGCUAACAAACUUCGAUGGGGAAGUGUAGGCCACAAGAAAUUGUGAUGGAUCCUUCAAUUGUGUUACCACUAAUCCUUCCGCCGAGGAGGCUAAGGAGAGUGGUUUUCCCACUGCCAGAAGGUCCCAUCAGAGCGAGAACCUCUCCAGGGCUUGCUGAACCUGUAAUGCUGUUAAGGAUUUCUUUCUCAGUGCUUGUUGUUACGCCUUUGAGGAUAACCUUGUAUCUAACCUCUGUAAACUGCAAGAUUGAUGAAAGAAUUGGUGAUAGAAAUGCCUUUUAGUUGGUAUAAAUGAAUAUACUUGAUGAGCUUAUGGUUA
Phoenix dactylifera (date palm) is the source of this 999-nucleotide non-coding RNA. The record is from RefSeq and is a predicted model, not a curated record. NCBI's taxonomy places the organism in Eukaryota, Viridiplantae, Streptophyta, Magnoliopsida, Arecales, Arecaceae.